This 476-nucleotide ribosomal RNA is filed under the name uncultured bacterium. Its description in RNAcentral is "bacterial SSU rRNA". It matches the Rfam family "Bacterial small subunit ribosomal RNA", at positions 29 to 506 of the family's 1533-position model. The record is from RNAcentral.
AUGAACGCUAGCGGCAGGCCUAACACAUGCAAGUCGAGGGGUAGGCAUCUUCGGAUGUUGAGACCGGCGCACGGGUGCGUAACGCGUAUGCAAUCUACCUUAUACUAAGGGAUAGCCCAGAGAAAUUGGGAUUAAUACCUUAUAGGAUAUCAGAAUGGCAUCAUUUAGAUAUUAAAGAUUAAUUGGUAUAAGAUGAGCAUGCGUCCCAUUAGUUAGUUGGUAAGGUAACGGCUUACCAAGACGAUGAUGGGUAGGGGUCCUGAGAGGGAGAUCCCCCCCACUGGUACUGAGACACGGACCAGCCUCCUACGGGAGGCAGCAGUGCGGAAUAUUGGUCACUGGGCGCAAGCCUGAACCAGCCAUGCCGCGUGCAGGAGGACGCAUCUCUGGUGUGUAAACUGCUUUUGUACAGGAAGAAACAGUUCUUUGCGAAGAACCUUGACGGUACUGUAAGAAUAAGGAUCGGCUCACUCCGU